Molecule: ribosomal RNA, 459 nt
Filed under: uncultured Alphaproteobacteria bacterium
Lineage: Bacteria; Pseudomonadati; Pseudomonadota; Alphaproteobacteria
Description: bacterial SSU rRNA
Rfam family: Bacterial small subunit ribosomal RNA
Source: RNAcentral
UCCUACGGGAGGCAGCAGUGGGGAAUAUUGGACAAUGGGCGCAAGCCUGAUCCAGCCAUGCCGCGUGAGUGAUGAAGGCCCUAGGGUUGUAAAGCUCUUUCAACGGUGAAGAUAAUGACGGUAACCGUAGAAGAAGCCCCGGCUAACUUCGUGCCAGCAGCCGCGGUAAUACGAAGGGGGCUAGCGUUGUUCGGAAUAACUGGGCGUAAAGCGCACGUAGGCGGAUUGGAAAGUUAGAGGUGAAAUCCCUGGGCUCAACCCAGGAACUGCCUUUAAAACUAUCAGUCUAGAGGUCGAGAGAGGUGAGUGGAAUUCCGAGUGUAGAGGUGAAAUUCGUAGAUAUUCGGAGGAACACCAGUGGCGAAGGCGGCUCACUGGCUCGAUACUGACGUUGAGGUGCGAAAGUGUGGGGAGCAAACAGGAUUAGAUACCCUGGUAGUCCACACCGUAAACGAUGAA